Molecule: long non-coding RNA, 1668 nt
Organism: Bombus huntii
Lineage: Eukaryota; Metazoa; Arthropoda; Insecta; Hymenoptera; Apidae
Exons: 2
Source: RefSeq, a predicted model, not a curated record
AUCGUCUAUUUCGCAUAAUCAUACCUUAUUGACUUUAUUCCCUUUCUAUUGCAUCGUUUUUCAUUUAUGUAUUUCAAAUUUUCGCGCGAUCGCGGCAUAACCGUUUCGAUAUAGCGAACCUCGAUUCCCUCUCUACGAUUGUUUCGAUCGGAGGUUAACUUCCGAAGGUUCAUCCCCACUACACGACUCUAGACAUCUCCCCCACCCCAUUGCACGUUCGCGCCAAGUUUGAUCGUGUACGCGCGAAUCUCGCGGCGAAAAUCGAAUGCUCUAUCGCAAUGUUCCGCACGCCGUUACAGAAACAAUAGACGUAGACACACACUAAUCAAGCGUACCCAUCACACACGCGAUCUUCGCCAGUCACGCAACAUGAACGCAGUCACUCACAGACUCAUCCAACAUAGAGUGGUAAUACACGUGACAGACACAAGUUGGAAACUACGCACACACAUCUGUAUAUAUACGACGAUUAUACACGUGCAGAGUAAAGAGAGAAAGAGAUGGAGAGCUCCAGCGCGUCUUCGCGUGAUCGAUGCAUUUGGAACGGGUACUGCACACGCGUUAACGAGACAUGGCCGUCGUCGUUUCGUUUGGAAUCCAACAUCGACGUCGAUUCGAGAUUCGUCCCGUAUCGAGGGAGUCACGAGUAACGGGUGUCGCACGAAGGAUCCUCUUAUCGCGUCGCUCAUCGAAGCCGAGCCUCGAACUGACAAUGAGGAGAGAUUCCAUCGGAGCUUGGACUGCCAUGUUGGCAGACGAUCUUCGAAUAUUGAUUACGCUCUGUCCGAGCAAUCCCGAUGCCAACCUGAAUUUCUGAUUCACCGGGAUACUUGUAUGCAGUCUGUACGCUCGAGAUUCCAUUGAAAGUGGUGGGGAGAAUUAGCGUUCUCUGGGUCGUUUCAUAAAAAACGACCCUUUCUUUCUUUCGCUUCGCGAAUGAUCCAAAUUAAUUUUAUACUAUGAUACAAACUGCAAGUCCUACUCUACACCUUUUAAUUUUAUAUAUUUUCCAGAAAGGAGAAAGUAGUUACCGUAGUAUGAUUGGAAAACGGUGAUUCUAUGUAGAGAUAAAUCAAAGUUAAGAAACGAGUAUGCUUCGCCUUGGCGGGAAUUUUGAAUAUUGAUAUUGAUUGAUUGAUGACUGAAUAUUUGAUAGAAGUUAUCUGAUUGAUCGUGACUGUCCUGAAUUUUCAACUAAUAAAUGUUGAUAUUAAAAGCACUUCGAAACGUUAAAAUUGAUUGUAACUCAUUUAUGAAAGCUUGAAAAAAUGAUAGAAGAUGAUUCUGUUAAGUUUAACGAAAUUCGUGCAUUUGAUUUUAUGUAUGUAAUUAUAUAUUGCCACCAUUUUUAAGUGAAUUUUAUUAUCAAUUCAGCAAAUUGUUAUAUUUGUGUAAAUGUAUCAAAGAUAAAUGUUAAAAAGCAAAUAAUUCACAAGGGGUUUCAUGUUUUACAUCAGCAUUCAAAUGAUUGUCAUAAAAAGAACAAAUAAGGUCAAAUAAAAUUCCUUCAUGUGAUAUGUAUCAAUAAAUAUAUGAAAUUUUGAAAUAGAAUUAAUGUUUAAACUAAGCAAAAGAUAUAAAAAGAUAGAAGCUGUAGGUUGCAAUGUUGUGAAUUUGAAGAAAAAUAAAGCUCAUGUUAUUAUACAAAUAUUUUCUCUACCACUUUCU